GUACCUUGCCAGAAAGCUUGCUGGUAAUCCGGAGCUUCACUUCGUUGAAUCACCUGCCCUGGCUCCUCCUGAAGUUCAAAUUGACUUGGCCGCACAAGCACAGCAUGAAGCAGAGUUGGCGCAAGCUGCUGCACAACCUCUUCCUGAUGAAGAUGACGAUGCAUUUGAGUAAUGUGCUUCUUAUAUAAGUGUGCUCGGCCUUUUGCCUUGCAGGGUUUAUAGUGAUUGUGGUUGUUUGGUGGUCGGUUGUAUUUCACUAUGUGAUGUGUCAUAGUAGAUUUCGGUUUGAUAUGAUAUACUACUACUGUUAUCGAUUACAAUUUUGAUAAAUG
Molecule: unclassified non-coding RNA, 332 nt
Filed under: Hevea brasiliensis (rubber tree)
Lineage: Eukaryota; Viridiplantae; Streptophyta; Magnoliopsida; Malpighiales; Euphorbiaceae
Source: RNAcentral